AAUCAACGCUGGCGGCGUGCCUCAGACAUGCAAGUCGAACGAUUAAAGCUCUCUUCGGAGAGUGUAUAGAGUGGCGCACGGGUGAGUAACACGUAAGUAACCUACCUUUGAGUGGGGAAUAACAAUCGGAAACGAUUGCUAAUACCGCAUAAUGCAGCGGCAUCGCAAGAUGACAGUUGUUAAAGGAGCAAUCCGCUUAAAGAGGAGCUUGCGGCAGAUUAGCUAGUUGGUAAGGUAAUGGCUUACCAAGGCUACGAUCUGUAACCGGUCUAAGAGGACGGUCGGUCACACUGACACUGAAUAACGGGUCAGACUCCUACGGGAGGCAGCAGUCGGGAAUUUUGGGCAAUGGGCGAAAGACCUGACCCAGCAACGCCGCGUGAAGGAUGAAGUAUUUCGGUAUGUAAACUUCGAAAGAAUGGGAAGAAUCAAUGACGGUACCAUUUAUAAGGUCCGGCUAACUACGUGCC
Molecule: ribosomal RNA, 470 nt
Filed under: uncultured bacterium
Lineage: Bacteria
Description: bacterial SSU rRNA
Rfam family: Bacterial small subunit ribosomal RNA
Source: RNAcentral